ACCCCAAAGACUCCAUAAACGAGAUUUUAAUAAACCCAUCACGUCCGGUAAAACCUUCCUGGCCAAACCCUUGUGGUUAGCCCCCAAAGCUUGUCCUGUCACCAUCCCCAUUUUCAGAUUCCUUGUCAUCUUUCCCAUCUUUUCUCCACAGACAACUCCAUUUUCCUUCACAACUCCACCUUCAGUGUUCUCUGGCAUCAUCACCACCUCACAUUCAUCUUCA
RNAcentral lists this unclassified non-coding RNA (223 nucleotides) under Hevea brasiliensis (rubber tree). Lineage: Eukaryota; Viridiplantae; Streptophyta; Magnoliopsida; Malpighiales; Euphorbiaceae. The record is from RNAcentral.